GUGGGGAAUAUUGGGCAAUGGGCGAAAGCCUGACCCAGCAACGCCGCGUGAAGGAAGAAGGUUUUCGGAUCGUAAACUUCUAUCCUUGGUGAAGAUAAUGACGGUAGCCAAGAAGGAAGCCCCGGCUAACUACGUGCCAGCAGCCGCGGUAAUACGUAGGGGGCAAGCGUUGUCCGGAAUGAUUGGGCGUAAAGGGCGCGUAGGCGGCCUGGUAAGUCUGGAGUGAAAGUCCUGCUUUUAAGGUGGGAAUUGCUUUGGAUACUGUCGGGCUUGAGUGCAGGAGAGGUAAGUGGAAUUCCCGGUGUAGCGGUGAAAUGCGUAGAGAUCGGGAGGAACACCAGUGGCGAAGGCGACUUACUGGACUGUAACUGACGCUGAGGCGCGAAAGUGUGGGGAGCAAACAGGAUUAGAUACCCGGGUAGUCC
This 425-nucleotide ribosomal RNA is filed under the name uncultured bacterium. RNAcentral's name for it is "partial 16S ribosomal RNA". It matches the Rfam family "Bacterial small subunit ribosomal RNA", at positions 354 to 796 of the family's 1533-position model. The record is from RNAcentral.